GAACAAUGCAAGAAAAAAGAAAGAGAAAAGUGCGCCGCGCGCUUGCACCUCGAAACUCCGCCUUCUUUUGCAAGCCGCAACGGGCUUUUUAAUAAAUGGCAGAUCUAAAUUUAACUGCAAAAUAGUUUGUUUUAUUCAAAUUU
Non-coding RNA from Caenorhabditis elegans, 143 nucleotides. NCBI's taxonomy places the organism in Eukaryota, Metazoa, Nematoda, Chromadorea, Rhabditida, Rhabditidae. The record is from Ensembl.